This is a long non-coding RNA of Lucilia cuprina (Australian sheep blowfly), 894 nucleotides long. RefSeq lists it as uncharacterized. The record is from RefSeq and is a predicted model, not a curated record. The transcript is spliced from 2 exons. Lineage: Eukaryota; Metazoa; Arthropoda; Insecta; Diptera; Calliphoridae.
UAACUAAUUUGCCAAUUGGCACAAUUUUUAUUUGAAAAAAUGUAUUUAUGAAAUUUUUAACAAAAUUUAAUUUUGCUCAUAUGAACAAAAUCUUCAAUACAAUUUUACGAUAAAAUGGUAUGUAACAGAAAUAAAAAUAUCAGCACUAGUCGAAUUGGUUUCAAAAGUUUUUACAAACCAUGAUUUCGUUGGCCUGUGUAAUUUUAAACAUGGAAAGUAUCCCUCACACGUGCAAAAAAAUUGUUAUUAUUUGUACCGUUAAAGCUAAAAUCGUGAGGGCUUCUCUGACAUUGUAUACAUCCAUUAAGAAGGUAUAUUUAAAAAUUCGACCGCUUAAGUGAUGAAAUUUGUAAAAGUUAGUUUAUUUCAGUUAUUGGUUUUGAUGCGUGAUGUUUCCUAUUUCAUAUGACCCAAAAAAUAUGUAAUGAAAAUUGGUGCAGUCUUUUAGACACUUAUAUGUUUAUAUGACUUUGUUUGUUGUUGAAGCAGCGGCACGUGUAAAGUCGGUGUAGCUGGGUUGACAAUCCUAGGUCUUUGAACUCGCGAGUCGUUCCGGUGCGAAGAACCGAAUGUCAUGGGAACGACUAUUUCGUUAAUUGCAUCCUGAAAGAAAUAAAUCAUUUGCAUUUUCAAUGAUUACUCACAAAAUUAUAAAUCCAAUUUACCUUAAAUCUUUCCUCGAAUAGUGAAAGUUCAGCUAAAAGAUCAGUGAUAGCAUUCAUAAACGCUUCAUGAGGAGAAUAAUCAGCCGUAGUUUGAAUACGAAUAACGAAUUUAUGUUCCAAAGGAUGAGGUACUUUGUAGCCGGCAAACAAAACAUUGGGAUCCUUUAACAAUUGACUACAAAUAAAUAAAUACAGUUAAUUGAUGCUUUAUAGUAUUUUUAGAAGUAUA